Molecule: unclassified non-coding RNA, 403 nt
Filed under: soil metagenome
Description: partial contains 5.8S ribosomal RNA, internal transcribed spacer 2, and large subunit ribosomal RNA
Rfam family: 5.8S ribosomal RNA (bases 1-121)
Source: RNAcentral
GAUGAAGAACGUAGCAAAAUGCGAUACUUGGUGUGAAUUGCAGAAUCCCGUGAACCAUCGAGUUUUUGAACGCAAGUUGCGCCCGAAGCCUUUGGCCGAGGGCACGUCUGCCUGGGCGUCACGCAUCGCGUCGCCCCCCACAAAUUCUCCGUCAGGGGAGCUUGUGUUUCGGGGGCGGAUACUGGUCUCCCGUGCUCAUGGCGCGGUUGGCCGAAAUAGGAGUCCCUUCGAUGGACGCACGAACUAGUGGUGGUCGUAAAACCCUCGUCUUUUGUUUCGUGCCGUUAGUCGCGAGGGAAGCUCUUCAAAAACCCCAGCGCGUCGUCUCUUGACGGCGCUUCGACCGCGACCCCAGGUCAGGCGGGACUACCCGCUGAGUUUAAGCAUAUCAAUAAGCGGAGGA